GUGCCAGCCGCCGCGGUAAUACGAAGGGUGCAAGCGUUACUCGGAAUUACUGGGCGUAAAGCGUGCGUAGGUGGUUCGUUAAGUCUGUCGUGAAAGCCCCGGGCUCAACCUGGGAAUGGCGAUGGAAACUGGCGAGCUAGAGUGCGGUAGAGGGCGGUGGAAUUCCCGGUGUAGCAGUGAAAUGCGUAGAGAUCGGGAGGAACAGCAGUGGCGAAGGCGGCCGCCUGGACCAGCACUGACACUGAGGCACGAAAGCGUGGGGAGCAAACAGGAUUAGAUACCCCGGUAGUCC
RNAcentral lists this ribosomal RNA (292 nucleotides) under uncultured bacterium. RNAcentral's name for it is "partial 16S ribosomal RNA". It matches the Rfam family "Bacterial small subunit ribosomal RNA", at positions 505 to 796 of the family's 1533-position model. The record is from RNAcentral.